Molecule: long non-coding RNA, 2571 nt
Organism: Oncorhynchus tshawytscha (Chinook salmon)
Lineage: Eukaryota; Metazoa; Chordata; Actinopteri; Salmoniformes; Salmonidae
Source: Ensembl
GGCUGUGACGGAUACUGGCAGUCUGCAUGCAGCCUAUAGUGAGGGACCCUAGCGACCCCACAGCACAGCCAGUGAAUUGGUAUUUCUUCUGAAAGGAGCAGAGGUCCUCUGCCAACACCAAGAGCCUGACAGCUGCUGAACGGAUGGCAGAGGGCCGUCUUUCUCUCUGCACAGACACACCAAGGCUGACAUAGAGGAGAGGACAAUUUGGGGUGGGGGGGGUCGAACUAGAGAUUGACAAUGCAACAGGUAUGGCUUUAGAUAUACAUUGAAGACAACAAAAUGCUCAAAAUAUACAAUUUAUUCCAAAUAUGUUAAUGCAACCAUCAGUAUUUUCCAGUAAUUACAAAAUCAGUCAUUUUUAAUAGUUGUUCCUUAUUAACAACAAAUCAUUAUAACACAAAUGUUGAUCAACCAUCAGAGCAAAGACAGAUUCAUUUGCAGCACAUCAGACAGUUUGCUUGAUAGACAAGCACUGGCUGCAACAAUCAGGAAAGAACAGUCGGAGAGGCAUUUUUGUAAACUUGGGUCCAUUGGUCACAUAAUAUAUUUCAGAUUUCAAACACCCCUGGGAAGACGUACAGUGAAACAGUAUUUGCCCCCUUUCUGAUUUUUCUCUACUGUUGCAUAUUUUUAUACUGACUGUUAGCAGGUCUUCAACCAAAACCUAAUAUUAGAUAAAGGGAACCUGAGUUUACAAAGAACAGUCAUUUUAUUUAUUUAAUUAACAAAUGGGACCCAUGUCAUCCCAAAAAUUAUACUUUUCAAUCAUCUGUCCAUAGAACAUUCUUCCAGAAGUCUUGAUGAUCGUCAUUUUGGCAAACUUGAGUAAACUUUUUGGACAUGGGUUCCAUUAUGGGGUGGCAGGUAGCCUAGUGGUUAGAGCGUUGGGCCAGUAACCAGCAGGUAGCCUAGUGGUUAGAGCGUUGGGCCAGUAACCAGCAGGUAGCCUAGUGGUUAGAGCAUUGGACCAGUAACCAGCAGGUAGCCUAGUGGUUAGAGCAUUGGGCCAGUAACCAGCAGGUAGCCUAGUGGUUAGAGCAUUGGGCCAGUAACCAGCAGGUAGCCUAGUGGUUAGAGCAUUGGACCAGUAACCAGCAGGUAGCCUAGUGGUUAGAGCGUUGGGCCAGUAACCAGCAGGUUGCUAGAUUGAACACCCGAGCUGACAAGGUAUAAAUCUGUCAUUCUGUCCCUGAACAAGGCAGUUAACCCACUGUUUCUUGGCCGUCGUUUAAAAUAAGAAUUUGUUCUUAACUGACUUGCCUGGUUAAACAAAAUUGUUUUUAUGCCUGGCAAAAACUAAACACUGCAUUCCACAGUAAGAACCUCAUACCAACGGUCAAGCAUGGUGGUGGCAGUGUGAUGGUUUGGGGUCAGCAUGGUGGUGGUAGUGUGAUGGUUUGGGGUCAGCAUGGUGGUGGUAGUGGGAUGGUUUGGGGUCAGCAUGGUGGUGGUAGUGUGAUGGUUUGGGGUCAGCAUGGUGGUGGUAGUGUGAUGGUUUGGGGUCAGCAUGGUGGUGGCAGUGUGAUGGUUUGGGGAUGCUUUGCUACCUCAGGACCUGGACGACUUGCCUUAAUAGUAGGGAACCAUGAAUUCUGCUCUGUAUCAGAGAAUUCUACAGGAGGAUGUCAGGCCGUCCGUCUGUGAGCUGAAACUGAAGUGCAGCUGGGUCAUGCAGCAAGAUAAUGAUUAAAAACACAAGUCUACAUAAAAAUGGCUAAAGAGCAACACAUUUGAAGAUUGGAAUGGCCUAGUCAAAGUUUAGACCUAAUCCCUAGUCCCAAUUGAGAUGUUGUGGCAGGACUUGAAAAGAGCAUUUCAUGCUUGAAAACCCACACAUUGCUGAAUUAAAGCAGUUCCGCAUGGAAGAGUGGGACAGAAUUCCUCCACAGCGACGUGAGAGACUGAUCAACAACUACAGGAAGUGUUUGGUUGGAGUCGUUGCAGCUAAAGGUGGACUGAUCAACAACUACAGGAAGUGUUUGGUUGGAGUCGUUGCAGCUAAAGGUGGACUGAUCAACAACUACAGGAAGUGUUUGGUUGGAGUCGUUGCAGCUAAAGGUGGACUGAUCAACAACUACAGGAAGUGUUUGGUUGGAGUCGUUGCAGCUAAAGGUGGACUGAUCAACAACUACAGGAAGUGUUUGGUUGGAGUCGUUGCAGCUGAAGGAGGCACAACCAGUUAUUGAGUAUAAGGGGACAAUCACUUUUUCACACAGGGGAAUUUGGUGUUGCAUAACUUUGUUUAUGAAAUAAAUUAAAUAAAGAAUGUAAUUGUUGUGUUAUUUGUUCACUCAGGUUUCCUUUAUCUAAUAUUAGGUUUUGGUUGAAGAUCUGAUAACAUUCAGUGUCAAAAAUAUGCAAAAGAAGAGAAAACUAAAAAGGGGGAAAAUACUUUAUCACGGGAACAACGGCCACUAAAACACCCUUCUACCAUAGUAAAACACCCUUCUACCAUAGUAAAACACCCUUCUACCAUAGUAAAACACCUUUCUACCAUAGUAAAACACCCUUCUACCAUAGUAAAACACCCUUCUACCAUAGUAAAACACCCUUCUGACAUAGUAAAAC